Molecule: non-coding RNA, 474 nt
Organism: Prinia subflava (tawny-flanked prinia)
Lineage: Eukaryota; Metazoa; Chordata; Aves; Passeriformes; Cisticolidae
Source: the annotation of a RefSeq genome assembly
AUGCUCGGCGGGCGGAGCGGCGGCAUGCGGCGGUGUCGGGGCGCGGGGCUGGCGGCGCUGGCCGCGGUGCUGCUCGCGGCUGUGGCCAAAGCCCAGGUGCAGCAGGAGCCAUUCGUAGAGACUACCGAGGGCAGCAGCAUUAAUAUCAACUGCUCACAUCCCACCAAACAGCUCAGCGAUUGGAUCCAUUUCUAUCGUCAGCUCCCGGGCCGAGGACCCGAAUUCCUCGCACUCGCUGCUAGAGGGUCCAAGGCUGUGCCGGACAUCGCAGGAGAGCUGAGGGUGUCGGAGGACGGGCGGAGCAGCGCGCUGUGGCUGCGGCGGCCCCGGCGCGGGGACGCGGCCGUGUAUUACUGCGCGCUGGGCGCACGGGCAGAGGAGCCGGGGCUGCGGCCGGGCACGAACCGCGGCGGAAAUGUCUCUGUUCUAUCCUGCAAGGUCCAUAAGAAGCAGCAUUCUCACAUGGACGUGUAA